Molecule: transfer RNA, 114 nt
Filed under: Pedobacter sp. SG908
Lineage: Bacteria; Pseudomonadati; Bacteroidota; Sphingobacteriia; Sphingobacteriales; Sphingobacteriaceae
Also listed under: 1 other name
Description: tRNA-Asp
Source: RNAcentral
UGUAGGGUGGUGAAACAGGCAGACACACCUCCUUGUCUCGGUGGUGGAGAAUAAUGGGAAUAUACCGGUUUCGGUACUAACCACUCCUUGAAGGUUCGAUUCCUUCCCCUACAG